UUGGUUAUCUAAAAAAUUUACAUAUAUUUAUGAAUAUCUCAUCCACUUUAUUCAAUACAAAUAGUCUUUAAAAAAAGAACUAUACAAGCUUUUUUCAAAAAAAAAAAUAUUUUAUACAAUAUGAAACAAAAUUAAAGAUUAAGGGAACUAUAUGCUUCAUAACUUAAAAAAAAAUAAUUAUUUUGUAAUAAAAAAUUAAAAUUUUAGAAAAUUAUAGUGUUUAUAAAGAUUUAUCUUCUUCCAUAAAUUAAUAAUUUAAUAAAUUAAAUUGUCAAAAUUACAUGGUAAAACAAUAAGUAUAUAAAAUUACACAUUUAAAACUCUUU
This 326-nucleotide long non-coding RNA is filed under the name Brassica rapa (field mustard). RNAcentral describes it as "long non-coding RNA (BRAP_LNC000971)". Lineage: Eukaryota; Viridiplantae; Streptophyta; Magnoliopsida; Brassicales; Brassicaceae. The record is from RNAcentral.